GUGAAUGGACAGCUGGGAGCUCAAUAAAAUGAGUUGCUGGCUGGAAGGGGAGGGCAUAAAGCUGGGUUGAAAUAGGAUGGUUAGAGGUAAGCCUGAUAUAAGAGUGGGUUGAAGGGCAGACAGAACUAAUCUUCUGAAUAUUACUUUUUUUAUAUAAAGCUUUCUCUAGUGUGUGGCUUUAUGGCUUUAUGAGUCGUGGAGUGUCUUUUGACCAGCAUCAGACACCCAGGUGGCAGCCUCAAAUAGCACUGCCUGUGUCCUGCUGGAAAAGCCAGAUGUUGGCCUGUUGCUUUUUUUGCAUGAAUUUUAUAAAAUUGCAGAAAAUUCUGGGGAAAUGGAACUUUGAUUAGUCAUAUUUUUCUGCCCAUGGGGAGAAUGUGAUUUUAGAAGAGAUGAAAGAUAUGAAAUACUUGAUUAUAUGUUGUUAUUUUUCAUGAUAUAUUGAUGAUUAUAUGCAAUAAUAAAUUAAAAAGUAAUAAGGAAUCAAUUCUUUAUUUCCAUGAAGAGGGAUCUUAGCUGUGAUUCCAUAAAGGUGGGCGGGUGUUUUUAGGGAGGAUGGUUGAGGUGGAUGGUAGCCUCUGCUCUUAGUUGUCUUCUUGCCUGUUGCUCAUAUUCCCUUUACUUUUAUUUUUGUUUAUUUAUUUAAUUUAUAAUUGAUAUAUUAUGGUCGUACAUAUUUUUGGGGUAAGUGUAAUAAUUUAUACACGUACACAAUGUGUAUUGAUUAAGUCAAGGCAAUUGGGAUAUCCCUUUCAGAUUUACUCCAGGGAAGAUCACCUGUGCACAUCUAAUUGAGACAGGUGACCUGGAUGGCUUUGAAGUUCACCUUAGCCUGACUAAACUUUAGCCUUCUUUCUGACGGCAGCCCCAGAUCUCUCUUUUCUUAGAGCAUUCAUUCAUUUUAGAAAACUUGCAAAUUGUAACUAUUUCUGUGCUCCUUUGAAAUGAAAAUCUUUAAAAAAGCCUCUUGCCAGUUUUGCAAUCUAGAAUUGUUUUUCUCAGGGAGCUGAGGGUCUUCCCCCUCCUUUUUUUUUUUUUUUUGAGACCGAAUCUCGCUCUGUCGCCCAGGCUGGAGUGCAGUGAUGCGAUGUCGGUUCACACCAUCCUCCUGCCUCAGCCUCCCGAGUAGCUGGGACUACAGGCGCCCACCACCAUGCCCGGCUAAUUUUUUAUAUUUUCAGUAGAGACGGGGUUUCACUGUGUUAGCCAGGAUGGUCUCCACCUCCUGACCUCGUGAUCCGCCCACCUCGGCCUCCCAAAGUGCUGGGAUUACAGGCGUGAACCACCGCGCCCGGCCAUGGUGGUGGUGGGGGGUGGGGUGUCGGGGGGUGGUCCUCCUUUCGAAAUGCAAUCAUCAAGAAAGAGCCCCCAUCUUUCUGGCUCUGUGUGGGGAUAGGAGCCUAACUUAGAUAAGCAAAAAUUAGCAAACACAGAUGGCCUAAUUGCAUUGACCAAUUCCCCACAAAUGCCUCCUGUACUUUUUCCACUCUCUCACCUCAGCAUUUAAAAGCUCUUCCAACUUUGGUUUCUGCAGAAUUGAGUUCAAUCUCUUUCCCUUAUUGCCAUAACCUUGGCCCCAAACGCAAUAGGUGUGGAAUAAAUCUUCCUUACCUGUUUAACUUGUCCACUGCAACUUUUCUUUGACAUACGGUUUGCCUAGAAUCACACUAAAAGAUGGCCACAUAAAUCUAUAGCCAAAAGAGUUUCAGUAUAAGGUGAAAUUGGCCAUAGUAGCACGUGUUCGUGCUAGGUGACUGGAGAUUUUAAAAACCUAGGUAAUCAACGUAGUGUCUCUCUUCGAGUUCUAUGUGCACAAGGUGAGUCUUUGAGGGAUGUUCCACUGGGCCAAAGUCUAGGCCAAAAGAUCUUUUAAAAGGUGUAAAAAUGAGAACUAUUGAGGGCAGAAUGAUUAGCUGUGUGAACUGAAAGUAAAUAUAGAAUACUGGGAUGGGACUGAAGGAUGGAGAUAAUUAUUCUUCUGCACGUUCAAGGAGUUAAGUUGCUGUGAUUUUUUUUCCAGAGGUAAGAUGGAAAAUUAAGUCAUAUAUGCAACAAAUCUCUUUUUAUGAUGCAUCUCAGGACAGAACAUUCUUCAUGGAUAGAAUUCUGUUCUACAUGGAAGUGGGCAGAUAAAUGGGGCAAACUGUGGUGGAAUGGCAAAGGAGGUAUUCAGUAUCCUGUUAAUUGUAAUCCGAUCUCCCCUGGAGAGAAAAUGAAGCUGCUCACCUUCAUGAUUUUGUCUGAAAUCUGGAUGAUCUUUUGCCUGGAUAAUGGUCAACACUCAAUUUGGCUUUGAAGAGUCAGGCCCACAAUCUCAAUUGUGAUAUAGAGGAGAGCCCACAUUUCUACUCAGAUUUUUGCUACAAAAAUAGAAUUCGUAUCUAAAAUAAUAAAGAAUUAAUUGAUAUCUCAUAUAAGUUGAAUCAUGCAAUAUCUGUCCUUCUGUGACUGGCUUAUUUUACUUAGCAUAACUCCCUCUAGGUUCAUCUAUUUCACCUAUAUGAUGUAUCUAAGAUACUUAAACGCAUAGAAGCUGAAAAUAGGAUGAUGGUUGCUAGAGGUUGUCAGGAGGGGAAGAAUGGGGAAUUGUUGCUUAACAGGUAUAAAAUUUCAAUUAUGAAAGAUGAAUAAGUUCUAGAAAUCUUCUGUACAACACAGUGACUAUAGGUAACAAUAUGGUAUUAGACACAGUAAUUUGUUAAGAGGAUAAAUCUCAAGUUGACUGUUCUUAUCACAAAAAAAACAACAUAAAAGACAAUGACAAAAACAAAACAUAAAAGAAUACAAGGGCAUUUUGGGAGGUGAUAGAUAUGUUUAAUAACUUGAUUUCAGUGAUGGUAUCUCUGGCUGCAUGAAUUGGUCCAAACUGAUCAAACUUGCAGUAUGGUUUUUCUGUAUAUUAAUUAUACCUCAAUAAAGCUGUUAAAAAUUAAUUCAUGCUGAUAUAAACUUUAAAAAAUUUGAGAUGCAAUUAAAAUACAAGAUUUAAAGAAAUGUGAACACUGGUUGAAAAUUGGUGAGAAAACAUCUAAUUCUGCCAGUCAUCUCUGUUUCUCAUUUAUGUCAUGCUACUUCUAUCUAGAUCAGAGCAAACUCAUUCUGAAACUGUCUUGAUUUUAGCUUCUGUCUUUCCAGGACCCAUCGCCAGGAGCUGCUUUCCACUUAUAGACACAAGUGGCUCACUCACUCUUCUAGGUGUUAGCUAGCAGGGGCAGAGCUUUCUCAGGUAUUUUAGCAUUCGUUGUGUUGGAAGGUCUCUGCUAUGUUCCUGAAAAUUCAUUUUAUCCCCUUUUUCCUUUGCUACAUAGAAAGAGGAAGAAACCGUUAUGUAGAUUGUUCUGUGUGAAUCCUCUUAUGAUUUUUAUCACCAUAAAACCUUUAUGAUUUUAUCACCAGCUUCCCUGCAGUUUCAUUUCACUUUUUUUUUUUACCUUAUUAGUGUGUUAUUGUUAAUUUAAAAAUAAAGAGAUGACUCACUCAUUAAACACUGCUCUGCUGGUUUAAUGUUCCCCUAGCAAUGGUCCUAAAAGGUUUCCAGAUCAUUUACAAACCUACAUCUGAUUCAAUCUGAUUUUAGUUACAGUCUGAGCUUAUUAUUACAUACAUUUUAAAGCAUAUUUAAACAUAGCAUCAUUUGUAGUUUAAAAACAGAGAUGUAAAAUAACUUUGAAAAGAGGAAACUGAAGCUUUGUAAUCAUGUAGAUACACUACCUGAAUGGCUUACUGAUAAUUUCACUUUUUAAGUACAUUUUACUAAAAUUAGUCCGGAUGUUUUUGUUUGGUUUGUAAGGUGUAUAACUAAGUGUCAGUUCCUUAAGGGAGUUCAGUCCUCAUGGAGUUUAUAAUCAAGUAAGAGAGUCAGGUGAAAUGAUGAAAUGAAAACACUCAUCAAAUAUAAAUGACGUUCUUUAAAUGCACCUCUGUUAGACUGACUCACUGAAAUCAAACCUUGCCAUUCCCUAGGGAACAUUUUCUAAUUUAUGGCCAGGACAUGCUGAAUGCUCACAGCUAGUAGAUUAUUUUUUACUAAGUCUGCAGUGAGGCACCUGCUUGCCAAGAAUUAGUUGUUGGUUCCCAAACCUAUUUAUGACAGUUGUAUUUAUUUUGGUAAUAAUAUAUUACAAGCAAAUAUUAUAGAAACUAACGACAUUGUGAAUAAAAGAGUGUCUUAUUUCUAUGAAGACUAAGUUGAAGUCUUUGGAAAGGUUAUAAUAAAGGUAAUAAAAAUAAUCAAAUUAUGUGUGGGCAAGAUGACUACAAAAGAUUAGAGAAAAUCUUAAAUUUUCAAAAGGUUAUAUACUCUGAUUAUUGUAAGAAUCUUUAGAUUUCCAUUGUAUUUAAAUAAAAUACUAAAGCCUAAGGAUUACUGCAAAUAAGAUGUCUUAAGACUUCAACCAGCAGAUUCAUUCUUUAAUUAAAAAAAGCCUUUGUUAUAUAUAAGUACAUUGGCAAAUGUAUACAUUUUUAGAUAAAAUAAAAAAAUUAAAACCUAUAUGUUUUUGACUUAUCCUUUUAACAAACUUUUAAAAUUAACUUACUAUUAGCUUUGCCCAUGUAUGCUAAGAGGACUUUUACAAUGACAAGUAAGAAGAAUACAUUGAUGAUACCUGUUUUGGUCCAGACAUUUCCAGAGCCAUGGAAUAGCAUGAAAAAAAAAAAAUCUUCGAAAUAUAAUUUAUUCCUUCGAAUUGGAGUCAAACUUAGAAGCAUCCAUCAAUGGAUGAAAGGAUAAAGAAAAUAUGGCAUAUAUAGACAAUGUAAUACUAUUCAGUCUUAAAAAAGAAGAAAAUUCUGGCGUUUGUGACAACAUGGAUGAACAUGAAG
Molecule: long non-coding RNA, 4824 nt
Filed under: Homo sapiens (human)
Lineage: Eukaryota; Metazoa; Chordata; Mammalia; Primates; Hominidae
Description: HSALNT0080719
Source: RNAcentral